Molecule: ribosomal RNA, 311 nt
Filed under: uncultured eukaryote
Lineage: Eukaryota
Description: partial 18S ribosomal RNA
Rfam family: Eukaryotic small subunit ribosomal RNA
Source: RNAcentral
CCCUUAGAUGUUCUGGGCCGCACGCGCGCUACACUGAUGCAUUCAACGAGUUUCUUCCUGGUCCGAGAGGAAUGGGUAACCUUUUGAAAGUGCAUCGUGAUAGGGAUAGACUAUUGCAAUUAUUGGUCUUCAACGAGGAAUUCCUAGUAAACGCAGGUCAUUAACCUGCAUUGAUUACGUCCCUGCCCUUUGUACACACCGCCCGUCGCACCUACCGAUUGAAUGGUCCGGUGAAGUCUCCGGACUGAGUACUUUUAGUACUUGGGAAGUUGACUAAACCUUACUAUUUAGAGGAAGGUGAAGUCGUAACA